Molecule: ribosomal RNA, 497 nt
Filed under: Staphylococcus aureus
Lineage: Bacteria; Bacillati; Bacillota; Bacilli; Caryophanales; Staphylococcaceae
Description: partial 23S ribosomal RNA
Rfam family: Bacterial large subunit ribosomal RNA
Source: RNAcentral
AUUGACUAAGGUUUCCAGAGGAAGGCUCGUCCGCUCUGGGUUAGUCGGGUCCUAAGCUGAGGCCGACAGGCGUAGGCGAUGGAUAACAGGUUGAUAUUCCUGUACCACCUAUAAUCGUUUUAAUCGAUGGGGGGACGCAGUAGGAUAGGCGAAGCGUGCGAUUGGAUUGCACGUCUAAGCAGUAAGGCUGAGUAUUAGGCAAAUCCGGUACUCGUUAAGGCUGAGCUGUGAUGGGGAGAAGACAUUGAGUCUUCGAGUCGUUGAUUUCACACUGCCGAGAAAAGCCUCUAGAUAGAAAAUAGGUGCCCGUACCGCAAACCGACACAGGUAGUCAAGAUGAGAAUUCUAAGGUGAGCGAGCGAACUCUCGUUAAGGAACUCGGCAAAAUGACCCCGUAACUUCGGGAGAAGGGGUGCUCUUUAGGGUUAACGCCCAGAAGAGCCGCAGUGAAUAGGCCCAAGCGACUGUUUAUCAAAAACACAGGUCUCUGCUAAACC